AUUAAUAUUACUGUAUGGUUCAUAUUUCCCUUUUCUGAAAUAUACAGAAAAAAUCUUUGUUGGCACUAGCAAUGAUAGGGAGCUCAAUUGGAUUGAGUCUGGAUCCCCAUAUAUUGUUGUUGUUAUGUGCCUUCAAAUUGACUCUGAUUUAGGAAUGUAUUCUCAUAAUGUGUCCUUGGCAACAUUUAUCCAUAGGAAGUUUGCCAUUGUCUUCAUCUAUGGCUGAGACAGCAUGGCCUAUCCAAGAUUUCCAUGGACGGGUGGGGAUUUGAACAUUAAUGUCUAAUGAUGAUGAUAAUGAUCAAUUUGUUACCCGCCCCUCCUUUUGGGUCUUAAGAGUCUUAAACCAGUACUCAGCUACUACACGAUGUUGGCUCCCUCAUCAAUCCCUGUCCUGGUUCUCUCAUUGAGCCUUGUGUCUUCCCACCAAUUCUCUUGAUGCCCAAUGCCAUGAAACUCCCUGAAACAAUUGUGAGGAAAUCAAUAAAUAACGACAACUAUUAUGCUGCUGAUGCUGAUGUAGUAAUUUCAAAAAGUAAUAGUGCCUGGAGUAUGCCACACUAUUCAGUGAUAUUCCUGAAUGGAAUUAUGAUGUUCUAAAACACUAGUGAAUAACGCCUGGGAACAACAAGACCAGAAGAAAACAGAUGUACAAGCACCAAAACAAUGCUCCUCCUCCUUUGCAUGUACACUCAAAGAAAGAUCUCAGCAGGGAGUUAAGCAAAACUUUUUUCUCUAUUUCUCCCAUGCUGUUUUGUUAUAGAUUAAAGGACCUUCAUUGCCAAUACAUCUGUGAUGUGCAUUGCUUUUAAAGAGGCCCUUCAUCCUACAUUUUGCUGAACAGGUUUGAGAAAAUGUAUGUAUUUGUGAUUGUUGAGGCUUUGUUUUUCCUGCCUGUCCUGUGAGCUGCAAUGAUCUUUGUAAUCCUUGUGUGGCAGAAAGUGGGUAAAUACCUCAUGCUUAAAUAUAAACUCAUUUAUUCAGUUAGUCAAAAAGGCUUUACACUUUUAUUUUAUUUUAAGAACCAAUGUACGAUUAAGUAAGGAAUAAAUUACCUGUGUGUGAGCCUGGAAGUUAGGAAAAGCAGCCAACAUUUGGAAAACAUAAGAAAAUGAGCAUGUCAGGCAGAAGGCUCUGAGGAUGCCUGCCAUAGAUGUGGGCGAAACUUCUGGAGAGAACACUUCCGGAACAUGGCCAUACAGUCCGGAAAACAUACAACAACCCUAGAUUCAGAUAAUGUCACUUUGACUUUCCAUAUGCAGGAAGCCCCUCUCCCCUAAGCAGCCUUCAGAAAUCAGCCAAGCAAACUGCUUCCUUUACAACAAAGGCAUACAAUCAAGGGAAGACUAUAACUACUAAGUUAUAGUAGUUUACCAUGUUGCAUGUGGACCCCUGAGCUUUAGCUUCAAAUGCAUUCUGAGUUAUGAACUCAUAGAAAUGCUUAGAAGUGUCACAAGUUCUCAGCCUCAUUUCACAGCCUCUACAACGGGAAUAACAACUACCCUUCAAAAAGUGUUUUACGUGAUGAACAGGAUAGAUUACAAAUUUCUUUGCAUGGUUGCAUGGUAAAUAUAAGUAAAGUGUUCUGUCUAUUCAGGAAAAUGUUCUGUUCCAUCUUUGACCCACGCAAAGCCAUGACAGAUGCCCUGAUGACUCCCAGAUGUAUUUCACAACUCUGACCUUUCACCUUGUGUUCACUUCAAUAUCUCUAAUGUUCUUGCUGACAUCUCCCUCUGGAUGUUUAAAUGACAUAUCACACUGAAUACUGUGAAGUUAGAACUCUCGUAAACCCUCCCAUUUCAUAUACUUCUGUGUUACUGUCAGAGUUAUAGUAUUUCUCCCCUUCUUGCUGGACAUUGUUAUUAGUCCUCUGACUCUCCCAUUCCUUCUCAGCCCACAUCCACAUUGCUGUCAAAUUCUGCAAUGUUCUUCUUUGCACAGUAUAACAAAUCCUUAAUCCAUUAUAUUGGCUGUUUCAUUGCUACAUUGCUACAUUGAAGCUUUUCUUGCUAUACCUGUUCCAAAUCCAUUCAUCCAAUGCUUUUGGGUUGCUUGUGAUUUUUUUUUUUUAAAUUUCCAUUAUUUGAAAUGUACAAUGCUUUUGACACAAAAUAAAUAAAUAACCUGUUCCAAAGCCAAUUGCUUCUCCCAGCUAGAGUAGACCCAUUAAAUUGAUGGGAUUUAUGUAAGCACUGACUCACUGUAUUCCCAUUGAUCUAAAGGGUCUUUUCCAGUUGAGACUAGCAACCUACUUUGGGGCCAAAUAGGUUUGCCUGAACAUUUAGCAUAAUGUCAGGAUCCUAGAGAGUGGGGAUCACUGGUAUAACAUUGCUGAAAUCAGUCUCUAUGACAUUUCAGUAGUAGCUGAUUAUUGCCACUGCCGACUAAAACAGCAUUACUCUACUUCAGUAAUUAAAGCCAUUUAUUUAACUGUUGACAUUCAUCUCCAAGGGUCAACACAAUGCAAUUGUAUGGGGCUGGAAGCCCAUAAAAUCUCUCCAUCUCCCAGUACCUCCCCGAAGAAAGCUACAUGAUUAGCUUUCCCUUUGGCUAACCUCCAGGGUGAGGCCUUCCUUUAAGUGGUUCAAGAAGAGGAACCCCAUUCUGUGAUUUCCAGAAAAAGUCCUCUCCCUGACCCAUGGCCCCCAAAAGACAGACCAGAGGUUAAACCUUCUCUUGUGAUUAAACCCUUUUGGGUACUUGCUGAUGUAUUCUGGGCUGCAGUUUCUCCUAAAAGUUCCUACUAAAUGGCUGCAUUUUUUUUUAAAAAAACUAUACCUUCCAAGCAAAUAGUCCUAAAAUUCUCAUCAUCAUUCAGUGCAGGGUAGAUAACCCCCACAAAUACAUAAAGCAUGGAUUCAUACACAAGGGCAAAAAAAUUCUACCCAACAUUUUGGUGAUCAGCAGAACCCCAUAUUGAUAGCUAGGGAAGGAGAGUAGUGCAGAUUCUGAACACAUACUCUUUGUGGGCUAAACAUUUGCAAACUCACAGUAUAGUAAGGAGGUGCAUUUUCACCUCCCCUACCCCCCAGCAAAGCACUCCCUACUUUGCACAGAAGCACAUGUGAAAAGUGGGAAAUCACAAGUGCUUUUCUACUGCUUUGUUCAAUUGCUGGUUCUCUCUUACUACCUCAUCACACAAUGAAUUUUUAGCAUCCUAGGAUGCUGCCACCCCAGUUGAAUGACAGAGCUCCACGCCGCUCAUCACAUAAUGUAGCCUCACUUCUGGAAGGGCUCAGUUGC
Anolis carolinensis (green anole) is the source of this 3243-nucleotide long non-coding RNA. Lineage: Eukaryota; Metazoa; Chordata; Lepidosauria; Squamata; Anolidae. The record is from Ensembl.